RNAcentral lists this ribosomal RNA (1289 nucleotides) under Bacillus subtilis. Its description in RNAcentral is "bacterial SSU rRNA". It matches the Rfam family "Bacterial small subunit ribosomal RNA", at positions 80 to 1355 of the family's 1533-position model. Lineage: Bacteria; Bacillati; Bacillota; Bacilli; Caryophanales; Bacillaceae. The record is from RNAcentral.
UGCUCCCUGAUGUUAGCGGCGGACGGGUGAGUAACACGUGGGUAACCUGCCUGUAAGACUGGGAUAACUCCGGGAAACCGGGGCUAAUACCGGAUGGUUGUUUGAACCGCAUGGUUCAAACAUAAAAGGUGGCUUCGGCUACCACUUACAGAUGGACCCGCGGCGCAUUAGCUAGUUGGUGAGGUAACGGCUCACCAAGGCAACGAUGCGUAGCCGACCUGAGAGGGUGAUCGGCCACACUGGGACUGAGACACGGCCCAGACUCCUACGGGAGGCAGCAGUAGGGAAUCUUCCGCAAUGGACGAAAGUCUGACGGAGCAACGCCGCGUGAGUGAUGAAGGUUUUCGGAUCGUAAAGCUCUGUUGUUAGGGAAGAACAAGUACCGUUCGAAUAGGGCGGUACCUUGACGGUACCUAACCAGAAAGCCACGGCUAACUACGUGCCAGCAGCCGCGGUAAUACGUAGGUGGCAAGCGUUGUCCGGAAUUAUUGGGCGUAAAGGGCUCGCAGGCGGUUUCUUAAGUCUGAUGUGAAAGCCCCCGGCUCAACCGGGGAGGGUCAUUGGAAACUGGGGAACUUGAGUGCAGAAGAGGAGAGUGGAAUUCCACGUGUAGCGGUGAAAUGCGUAGAGAUGUGGAGGAACACCAGUGGCGAAGGCGACUCUCUGGUCUGUAACUGACGCUGAGGAGCGAAAGCGUGGGGAGCGAACAGGAUUAGAUACCCUGGUAGUCCACGCCGUAAACGAUGAGUGCUAAGUGUUAGGGGGUUUCCGCCCCUUAGUGCUGCAGCUAACGCAUUAAGCACUCCGCCUGGGGAGUACGGUCGCAAGACUGAAACUCAAAGGAAUUGACGGGGGCCCGCACAAGCGGUGGAGCAUGUGGUUUAAUUCGAAGCAACGCGAAGAACCUUACCAGGUCUUGACAUCCUCUGACAAUCCUAGAGAUAGGACGUCCCCUUCGGGGGCAGAGUGACAGGUGGUGCAUGGUUGUCGUCAGCUCGUGUCGUGAGAUGUUGGGUUAAGUCCCGCAACGAGCGCAACCCUUGAUCUUAGUUGCCAGCAUUCAGUUGGGCACUCUAAGGUGACUGCCGGUGACAAACCGGAGGAAGGUGGGGAUGACGUCAAAUCAUCAUGCCCCUUAUGACCUGGGCUACACACGUGCUACAAUGGACAGAACAAAGGGCAGCGAAACCGCGAGGUUAAGCCAAUCCCACAAAUCUGUUCUCAGUUCGGAUCGCAGUCUGCAACUCGACUGCGUGAAGCAGGAAUCGGUAGUAAUCGCGGAUCAGCCU